CUGGUCAAACUGAUCCCUAUAGUAUAUGACUAUGUGCGGCACCAGAUUAUUAGCACCAGUCAGUUAAGUCUUCCAUCUGUCCAAAACAAAGUCAAUAUGUUAUUUGUGUGAAAAUAUGUAGUCAUUUAUCAUACAAAAUCAAUGCUACUGUUUACAUACCUGUAUCUCAGAGGAUCAGUCUAGUCGUGCUAUAUGUCGUCAAAUGGACCCUUAAAACCAACAUCAUUCUCAUCUAAUA
This 238-nucleotide long non-coding RNA is filed under the name Elaeis guineensis (African oil palm). RNAcentral describes it as "long non-coding RNA (EGUI_LNC029585)". The record is from RNAcentral. Lineage: Eukaryota; Viridiplantae; Streptophyta; Magnoliopsida; Arecales; Arecaceae.